CAGCCAUUGAGGAGUGCAUUGAUGCUUCUGAAGUAACAAUGCAACAUUUAAAGACUGCAAUUACACAAGUCCAGCCAUCACAGGUUCAGUCUUAUGAAGACCUAUCAGCUAAAUUUCAAAGGCUUGUUCACUCUAAUCAUGGACAUGAUGAAUUACAAAUGCAAGAUAGCUCAACUGGAUCAAUCUGGUUUCCCAUCCGGACCCUUAUAAAAUCCGCCAUGCAGUUCUUAUAUCAUUUACUGGCUCCAGGCUCAAAAUCUUCGAGUCAUGCUGCAAGCUAACAGCAUGUCCCUCUACAAGUAGCGGUAGACAACUAAACAUGUCCUUAAUCCCAGUGGAGUUGAAACUUUACCAAUUGCCUGCCAUGAACAUGGUCUUCUCGGGGGUGAGAUCCAGAAUUCAGAUAGCCCGAUCAUGGUGGUAAAUAUCAUCACUACUUAAACAUAGCAUACUUAUGAGCAAAAUAUAGCUGGAACUUAUUUAUGAGACAGGGAUGGUGCAAAUUUUGUAUGGCUUUUUGGGUUUGUCUCGUCAAUUAUUGAGUGUAAGUAACUUCCCUUGGAUAUAUGAAAAGAUUGAUUGAUCCUCAAAAUUCAGAGCCCAGUUUGUCAUGGCCUUUCAAGACAGUUGCUGAUCCCACUUGAGUUCUGGUUUCAGAUUGAAUAGAACAGUUGGGGUAGUAUGGGCCUUUUGAUGAUAUCUGAUGUGCAACUUUUAGUUUUCGCUAUGAUGAUUUCGUAUAUUUAAGGGAAGUUGCUUACA
Molecule: unclassified non-coding RNA, 762 nt
Filed under: Hevea brasiliensis (rubber tree)
Lineage: Eukaryota; Viridiplantae; Streptophyta; Magnoliopsida; Malpighiales; Euphorbiaceae
Source: RNAcentral